RNAcentral lists this ribosomal RNA (262 nucleotides) under uncultured archaeon. Its description in RNAcentral is "partial 16S ribosomal RNA". It matches the Rfam family "Archaeal small subunit ribosomal RNA", at positions 748 to 1009 of the family's 1478-position model. The record is from RNAcentral.
UAGCCGUAAACGAUACUCGCUAGGUGUCGGCCACGGUGCGACCGUUGUCGGUGCCGUAGGGAAGCCGUGAAGCGAGCCACCUGGGAAGUACGGCCGCAAGGCUGAAACUUAAAGGAAUUGGCGGGGGAGCACAACAACGGGUGGAGCUUGCGGUUUAAUUGGAUUCAACGCCGGAAAUCUUACCGGGACCGACAGCAACAUGAAGGCCAAGCUGAAGACUUUGCCGGAUUAGCUGAGAGGUGGUGCAUUGGCGUAGUCGUGU